AGGCAUCACCCAGCCAGUUUCCGUGCAGCUGGAAAGACGCACACCUCGGUGUGACUCAGGCCCUGCAGACAGCAUGAAAUCGCAGCCCGAGCCCCUACGUCGACAGGACAGCAGAGCUGCAGGUUAUCGGUGAAUAACCCGGGCGCAGCCAUCGUGCUCCUGUAUCUGUAGCGUGAAGUCCUGGAAGGGAGCAGUUGCUGACCCAAAGGCUGUCUUUGUUUCCUGUGGCUGCUUAGCCACGGGGUGACUUGAGGAAACACAGCCUUGCUCUCUCACUGUUCUGGAGGUCGGAAAUCCAGAAUCCGCUCCACUGGGCUAAAAUCAAGGCGUUGGCAGGUCAGGUUGAUUCUGCAGGCUCUAGAAGAAGCCGUUGCCUUGCCUUUCUGCAGCUUCUGGUGGCCACCUGCAUUCCUUGGCUUGCGGCCCCUCGGUCCAUUUUCCAAGGACGUUGCUCCGGUCACUGCUCUGUCAGCCCGUUGUCUUCUCGAGUCUGAUCUCCCGCCUCCCUCCUGUAAGGAUGCUUGUGAUUACGUCAGACCCACCUGGGUGACCUGGAAUAAUUUUAUCAUGUCCGGAUUCUCAGCUUAAAUGAAUCCACCACCCUUUUUGCCAGGGAAGGUAACAUUCACACACGCCAGGGGUUAGGAUGUGGACCCCACGAUUCAGCCUGCCUCAAAGCUUAAAUUGCCCUCCGUCGGGUUUGUGGCAAUUUACCUCCUCGCCACCAAUACAAGGGCCCACCCAUUCCCCAUACCUUAGCCAUACAGCUCUGUCAAAAUGAUCUUUGCAAAUUUGAUGACAGAAAAAAGUCAUACUCGGUGUGGUUUGAAUUCGCAUGUUUCUCACGAGUGAGAUAGAGAAUAUGUUUAUAUGUGCAAAAGCCAUCUGCAUUUCAUUUUUGGUAGACUGUAUUGUCACAUACUUUGCCUGCUUCUUUUGCGGGGUGGGGUGUGAGUAUGGGGCGUGUUGGCCUUUUCAGCCCUUUGAGUUGAAUUAGAGACGAAGACAUGAAAAGCCCAGAGACCUUCCAUAGCACACCCGAGGCCACGGGCAGGUGGAUGGCAGGCCCAGGACUGAAGCCGUCCUUGAUUUUCAACUUCAUCUGUUACAGUCUUACCACGUGGCAGCUAGGUGUAGCUGCUUCUCUGUCGAGCCGCACAUUAGGGAUAAUAAGCAAACGGCUAGUAUUGAUUGGGCUGUGCUUUUGCCAUUUUGUCCAGGAGCUUUUGUUUUCGCUUAUUUCCUUUUUACCCUCCUAGGUAUUACUAUCCCAUUUCACACACAGGGAAACCGAGGCUCAGAGGGACUUCGGAGCCUGGCUGCAGGCAUAUGACUGAUGAGUGCAAACCCAAGGCGGAAAGACAAUUCCUUCCCUCUGACCUCCACUUCAGCCCUUUCCCUGCUACUCUCCACUAUGAUUCCAGCGGCCCAUGUGAUCUCCCCAACCAGAGGAGAUUCCCUCGCCUUACCCAGCGGCCGCGGACUGUCAGGAGGAUGCUGUACAACGGAGACACAGCCGGUUUCGGUUUGAAACUUGGAGAGUUAAAAACUUGUGUCCAUACAAAAGCCUGCUCGUGGAUGUUUAUAGCAGCCUUAUUCAUAAUUGUCAAAGCGCGGAAGCAACCAGGAUGCCCUUCUGUAGGGGAGUGGGUAAAUAAGCCAUGGUGUGGUCCGUCCACACAAUGGAAUAGUAUUCAGCGCUAAAAGGAAAUGAGCUAUCAAGCCACAAAAGACAUGGAAAAGGUUGAAAUGCAUAUUAUUAAGUGAAAGAGGCCAAUCUGAAAAGGCCGCGUGCUGUAGGAUUCCAACUAUAGGACAUUCUGGAAAAAGCAAAACUAUGCAGACAGUAAAAAACAGAUCAGCAGUGGCCAGGGGUUGGGUCGCGGGGAGGGAUGAACAGGCAGAGCAUAGAGGACUCUCAGGGCAGUGAAACUAUUCCAUAUGAUACCAUCAUGAUGGCGUCGUUAUGCAUUUGCCCAAACCCUUGGAAUGUGCACCAACCACCAAGAAUGAGCCCGCAUGUUAACAACGGGCUUUGGGUGAUAAUGAUGUGUCAGUGUGGGUUCAUCGAUUGUAACAAAGGUACCAUCUGGUGAGGGAUGUUGAUAGUGGGAGAGGCUCUGUGUGUAGGAGAGAAGAGGGUCUUACAUGGCAAAUCUCCAUACCUUCUGCUCAGUAUUGCUGUGACUCUGAAUCUGCUCUAAAAGCUAAAGUCCAUUAAAAACAAAACAAAAACUUGGAGGAUGGGCUCCUGAAGAUGCCCAUCAGGGAAACUGAGGCCAGACUUGGACGGGCAGCUGGGAUCUGACCCCUGGUCUCCUGACCGUGGAGUCAUUGUUCCUUCCACUGUGCCUUCCUGCCAAGGAAAAUGUCAGUGUCAAUCCAUCCCUGACCUCCUGGUCACUCCCACCCAGAAUGGAAGCCAGCCAACUCUGACAUCCAUGGCCCAUACGAGCCACUGUCCCCGGGAACUCCUCCUUAAGCACUCUUACUGUUAAAGCAUGUUGGGGACCAUCAUCUCUUCAUUGCAGUAGUGUCCAUAGGCUUGAAUAAUGGCUGGAAUCUUGUGGGUUCAUUGGCUGGACAUUACGGGACGCCUGUGUUGUGCCGUGAGCAAAAGAAGGCUUUAUUCACACCGGCAUCUGGGCCAGAGGGGUCUGAAAAGCUCAAUUAUUCAGCAGAGCGUGAUGGAAAAAUAAAACCCUGAGUAGAUGUGUUUAAGGUCAUCCUUUGACUUCUUGGAAGGUGGGGAGCCAGGAGUCCCGACUCUCUCAUUGGCCUUAACUGUUGCUCGAGGCUCUCCAAUCUUAACUUUACCCCAAUAAAACAAAUGUAUAUAUAACUUUAUUUUCAUUAAAAGCUUCAUACCAAGAAGACAGCAUGACUCAUAUCUUUGAAUCGAUGUAAUUUUGGUUCAUAAAGUGGGAUUAAAACGGAGGGGCCAA
Long non-coding RNA from Neofelis nebulosa (Clouded leopard), 2945 nucleotides. RefSeq lists it as uncharacterized. The transcript has 2 exons. The record is from RefSeq and is a predicted model, not a curated record. Lineage: Eukaryota; Metazoa; Chordata; Mammalia; Carnivora; Felidae.